CAGACUUACGUGAAACCAUCAAUGGAAUUUACGCCUUACUUUGGUAAUUAUAGAAGACAUAAAAAAGAGAGAUGUUGAGAGAGACUUCUAAACGAUGAGAUCAGACAUUCCAAAACUACAGAUUAUUUUGGGAAGAUCAGUGACGCUUAUCAAUGCAUGAUGCAGCACAGGCUUUUGGUUUUCAGCUGGCUUGCUACUGAACCUGAC
Pantherophis guttatus is the source of this 207-nucleotide non-coding RNA. The record is from RefSeq and is a predicted model, not a curated record. Lineage: Eukaryota; Metazoa; Chordata; Lepidosauria; Squamata; Colubridae.